UACGUAGGGGGCAAGCGUUGUCCGGAUUUAUUGGGCGUAAAGAGCGUGUAGGCGGUUUGGUAGGUCCGUUGUGAAAACUCGAGGCUCAACCUCGAGACGCCGAUGGAAACCAUCAGGCUAGAGUCCGGAAGAGGAGAGUGGAAUUCCCGGUGUAGCGGUGAAAUGCGCAGAUAUCGGGAAGAACACCCGUGGCGAAGGCGGCUCUCUGGGACGGUACUGACGCUGAGACGCGAAAGCGUGGGGAGCGAACAGG
RNAcentral lists this ribosomal RNA (253 nucleotides) under uncultured bacterium. Its description in RNAcentral is "partial 16S ribosomal RNA". It matches the Rfam family "Bacterial small subunit ribosomal RNA", at positions 524 to 776 of the family's 1533-position model. The record is from RNAcentral.